CAAAUUUUAGUUUAAUUUAAAGAACCUUCCACUUACACUGGAAUAGUGGCUGUGUAAAUCAGCUUGAUUUGA
Molecule: transfer RNA, 72 nt
Filed under: Platycnemis phyllopoda
Lineage: Eukaryota; Metazoa; Arthropoda; Insecta; Odonata; Platycnemididae
Description: tRNA-Val
Rfam family: tRNA
About the family: Transfer RNA (tRNA) molecules are approximately 80 nucleotides in length. Their secondary structure includes four short double-helical elements and three loops (D, anti-codon, and T loops).
Source: RNAcentral